UUACAGAAAAAUAAAUUAAGAAUAUUGAGCAUCUUGUAAAGUUAUACUUUGGUGUUGGUUUUACAAGUAAGGAAAUAUUUGAUCUUUUAACAUCAACAUCAAAUUACCAGAAGCAGGACUAUUAAAUGAUCUAACGAGUAUUUUAAAGAAAGAACUAAAAAAAAAACUAUUUUCUCAUUAAAGCAACUCUUUUUUUUGUUUUAGGGCGUUUUUCUGGUAAAAUUGCAUCUUUUUGCUGCUAAUAUUGUCCUCGUAAUUAUUCAAACAUUCUCACAACCCGCCGCUAUUAUGCCUUGUACAACUCAGAAGGGAUGAUUGAAAUAAAGCCACAUUUGGAAAACAUUUUCUGUCAUUUCUGUAAUUCCGUUUUUAGAAAAAGAAAGCGAGGGAAAUACAUAAAUUAUCAGAUUUGGUAUUAAAAAAUGCAGAUAUUUUAUCACCCAACCCCACUCUAUUAUACCUUCUAAAGGUAAACCUCAAAUUUGUGAUGUCACAAAGGUGCAUUUAUGCCAUCAUUACAGAUUAAAAUGUUGAUUAAUGUCUCAUUUACAAAGUUUCAAAAGCAGCUAUAAACAGGUGGGUUUUAGUCUAGAGUUAAAGGAAGUCAGUAUUUCGCCUGUUUUGUAGUUUUCUGGAAGUUUGUUCCAGAUUUGCGGUGCAUAGAAGCUGAAUGCUGCUUCUCCAUGUUUGGUUCUGGGGAUCAAAACUUUGUGUUUUUGCAGCGCACACACAACAGUCUGAGAUUCUAAAAUCCUCAGGGUCUGGAUAAAUAUUUCUCCUUUGAGCUUUAGAGGAUGUCAGCUGCAUCUCCUCUGAG
Xiphophorus hellerii (green swordtail) is the source of this 817-nucleotide long non-coding RNA. RefSeq lists it as uncharacterized. The record is from RefSeq and is a predicted model, not a curated record. Lineage: Eukaryota; Metazoa; Chordata; Actinopteri; Cyprinodontiformes; Poeciliidae. The transcript has 3 exons.